RNAcentral lists this long non-coding RNA (1764 nucleotides) under Strigops habroptila (Kakapo). RNAcentral describes it as "lncRNA (ENSSHBG00005006834.1)". Lineage: Eukaryota; Metazoa; Chordata; Aves; Psittaciformes; Psittacidae. The record is from RNAcentral.
UUUUGCUGAUUAAAGGGGUGUGAAACAGCUGGAAAAAUCAGUGUCUGAAGCUUGCCUGUACUGAGGCUGGGGCAUAAAUUGACAGGUGUUCUUACUUAACCGUGCACAUUUUAGUUGAUUGCGCUUAAAAUCUAUGGGAGAAAAGCAUGGCAGGUUCAAUCCUAUGGUUUUUCUGAGUAAAUGAAACAAACUCUAUCACUGUCAUUGCCAAAACUUCUUCAGUUCCUUGGUUUGACUCUCUGAUUUUUUCCAUUGUUACUGCAGUGCAAUUAGCACCAACAGUUACGGGGUUUUCCUCAGGAACAUUCUGAAAACACCUCUUUUAAAUGUGCUUGAAGUUGUUUAAAAUGAAUAGACGAAGUGAUGGUUUAGUUCCCUCUCUUAAUUCUUUCUUCUGACUGUCUUUGCUAAGAAAGACAGAAAAAGAAAUAAAUCUGUGUUUGUCUUCAUUCUUUCCUACGUACUUUUUUGUUCUAAUAAAAAUUAAGAUACAUUUCUAGUAGUAACAGUGCUUUUGAAAUCCUCAUUUUAUCCCCUCCAUUAUAAAAGUCAUUAAUCUAAACUUCUCAUGGGUAGUGAUAGUCUUAAUUGCUUACAGAAAUUUCUCACAGAAUACAGAAUACUCAUCAUUGUCCUUGUCAUAGCUCAGAACCCCUGUUCUGAGAGCUCAUCUCUCCCACAGCGGAGCGCUGGCUGAAGGAGCUGCUCUGGGUGGGCCAGUCCCAGUGCUGGAGGCAGAUGGCUCCUAACAAAAUCAAAACUCCAUCAUACUCGCAUUUUCCUUGUACCUCACCUGACUGGCAGCAGAUUCACCCUUACACUGUAUUGUUUUUAUCCAGCAUAUUCCUUUCCAUUUGUGUCAUUUUCUAGUUAGUGGCCGUAAAAGUGUGGGCCUGUGGCCUGUGACAUGGGCAGACCACCUGCUUUCUCCGUUUCCUGAUCUGUCCCAUGAUGGGGCUGUGGUCCUCACUGAGCUUUUUGCUUUCAUUAACAACUCAGAAAGAAGAACUUUUAUUCUCACAGGAAGGGAAAAGCUGCAAUGGAAGGGAAUUAAAGCUGUUCUGGAGAAUACAACAUGUUCUUUUCCCACUUUCCCCUCCCUCCUUCCCCCCAAGGCAAACAUGAGUAGAACAAACCUGGUUUGUUGGGGGUUUUUUUAGUAGGUUUUCCUUAUUUUCUUUCUAAAAAUUUAGCAUGACUUCUCAGUCAGAAAAACAGGCAAAAUCACCACAUGUCCAAUCAUGCUAAUAUUUGUGGUAAUAGGUGGAAACAAAGGGCGAUUACUGAAGACUGGAGGAAGAUCAGCUAAUUAAUAUCCACACACACAAAAAUCUCAAGUAAUCAUUCCCAAUUUCCUUCUCGGAUGUCAUUAUGGCAAAACAACUGCUUUCAUUGUUUCCAGAGGCAUUUUGUAGUCUUGUGUGUUAGUGCUCACUUCUCUGGAAGGCAAAAUACUCCUUUAAUCAUUAGACUUUCAAGAAUGUACCACUUUGAUUAGCUCAUAAGGUAGUGUGUUAGCAAGAUCUACAAAUGCUUCCUGUGAGAAGAAAAUCCAGAGGUACCUGUUAGCAGCAGGAACGAGUCACUCAAUAACAUCAGACCCUACACUGAGAUCUUGUCCCUUAUAUAAAACCUAGAGUUUGGGUUGAUGUCAUGUAAUGUUGUCCCUUGUCUCUUGCUCCCUAUCCUCCUUGUUCCAGGAAUUUAGAAAAGCCAGGAUCUCCCUGAAGUGCUUGUCUGUAUGUGCAUUGAAUGCUGAAGCAC